RNA transcript from Labeo rohita (rohu), 3071 nucleotides. It is a transcript of the gene named probable polypeptide N-acetylgalactosaminyltransferase 8, with no coding region annotated. The record is from RefSeq and is a predicted model, not a curated record. The transcript has 12 exons. NCBI's taxonomy places the organism in Eukaryota, Metazoa, Chordata, Actinopteri, Cypriniformes, Cyprinidae.
GUAACUGACACCUGAAGACAGGACACACAGAAAACAACUCACUCUGUGAGAUCUUUGCUGAUCUGAUCAUCAUGAGAAUAAGCUGUGUGAAGACUUUGUUUCCAGUCUUGUCUGUCACUGCGGUGUUUCUCUAUAUGAGCUCGGUCAAGUGGGAAAUCCAAACUCAAGAGAAGCAGCUCCACCAAGUCCAGCAGAACAACGAACAGCUCCUCAACAAGCUGGACAAACUGGAGGCUCAUUUAAUAGCCGUGGAAGAGAAAAGCCUUAAAGUGAAACAUGAGAAGAAGCCAGCAAAGAAGCUGUUCCCAAACUCACACCUUUUCAAGCAAUGGACUGUUGAACUUUCUGAGGAUGACCAGAGGAAGGCUGAAGAUCUCUUUCAGAAAUAUGGCUAUAAUGCCUUUCUUAGUGACCAAUUGCCUCUGGACCGGGAGCUGCCGGACACUCGAGACCACAGAUGCAUUGACCGUGAAUACCCCCACAAUCUGCCCACCAUCAGCGUGGUGCUGAUUUAUCUGGAUGAGGCUCUGUCUGUCAUUCAAAGAGCCAUUUGCAGCAUCAUCAACAGAACUCCAGCCCACCUGCUCAAGGAGAUCAUACUGGUGGACGACCACAGCACAAAUGAAAAUCUGAAAACACAGCUGCAUGCUUAUGUCAGCUCCAUCAAUGAGAAGCACCCAGGGCUGCUGAAGAUGGUGAGUCAUUCAAAGCAGAAAGGACUUUCCCAGGCCAGAAUCUCAGGGUGGAAGGCAGCCACUGGGGAUGUGAUUGCCAUUUUGGAUGCCCACAUUGAGGUCCAUGUCAAAUGGGCGGAGCCUCUGCUUGCACGUAUCCAGGCUGACCGUACGUUGGUCCUGAGCCCCGUGUUUGAUAAAGUCAAUUACUAUGACUUGCAAGUGACAAAAUAUUUUGCCUCUGCUCAUGGCUUUGACUGGGCUCUAUGGUGCAUGUACGUGGCAUUCCCCCAGAAGUGGUAUGAACAAAAUGAUCCUUCACAGCCAGGAAAGAGUCCCUCUGUAAUGGGAAUUCUUGUGGUUGAUCGCCUGUUCUUCGGUGAGAUUGGGACUCUGGAUGGAGGGAUGGAGGUGUAUGGAGGAGAGAAUGUUGAAUUAGGAAUACGGGUGUGGCUGUGUGGAGGAAGUAUAGAAGUUGUACCCUGCUCUAAAAUUGCUCAUAUCGAAAGGUCACACAAACCCUACAUGCCUGAUCUUAGAAAUGUAAUGAAGAGAAAUGCCCUCAGAGUGGCAGAAGUUUGGAUGGAUGAAUACAAGGCAAAUGUGAACAUCGCCUGGGGUCUUCCCAUACAGAACCAUGGGAUAGACAUUGGUGAUGUAUCUGAGAGAAAGAAGCUGAGAAAAAGGCUAAAUUGCAAGCCAUUUAAGUGGUAUCUGGAAAAUGUCUAUACUCAAUUAAAUCCCAUUCAUAUUUUAGCUUAUGGAGCGCUUAUUAAUGAUCUGCAAACAAGUUUAUGUUUGGAUAAGGGGCCACUUGAGGAGAACACUCCUAUUUCAUAUCCAUGUCAUUUCAUGGAAUCACAGACAUUUUAUUAUACGGCACGUGGUGAGAUAUUUGUAUAUCCCCUUCAGUCCCUUAAAAACAAUGGGAACCGCUGUCUAAUUGAUCCUGGCUCAGGCAGGUUUCCAGAGCUGUCCUGGUGUUUAGACACUGAAAAACAAAAACACAUGUACUGGGACUUCAAACAGGGACAGGCCAUACAGAACAGAGACACCAAACGCUGUCUGGAGAUCAGCGCUCAGCAGACAGAAAAGUAUGAAAAGAACGUUUUUCUUCAGGAGUGCAGAAACCAACACUGGAAGAUGCAGAAUGUAAUUCAGGACUUUUGAAAUGCAAGAUAUAAUCAACUUAUAUAAACACAGCUGCCAUGCUGAAGAAGCAUCAUAGAAAGUGUUAACUAUGAGAAGAUAGGUGCUAAGAAAUAACACAAAAAUAUUAUAUGGCUGAUGAAAGUAAAAAUAAAAUUAAGACUCAGAAAGAGAAUAAUAAUACAGUCAUAUUACAGUUUGAAUAGUCUAAAAAAUAAAACAUUUAACUUGCAUGUCAUGUCUCCAUUAACUGGCAUCAGAGAACCGUGAAAUCUCAGUGAAUACUUCAAAUAAAUAUAUCAAAGAGGUUCGGCUGACAAAAAAGUUUGGGAAAUAAUGGAAAAGAGCAGGAGAUUGUGUCAGUUACAUUUGUAACCCUCGUUAUGCCGACUGACAUCACAGGGUCUCACUUUGGAGCUUUUCUUUUCUCACCUCUGAGCUUAAGAAGAAAAGGCCAAUGAGAAUUGGCUAAUGGAAUUUGCAUGCCGCACCACACCUCUGUACAUACGAGUAUAACAGAUGGUGGCGUUCAACCACUCAUUCAGACAUAUCCUGGCAUUCAGCGCAAUUCAGGAUUGUGGCAGGAGGGACGUAAUGUCUCCGUUCCCUCUUCCAGGGAACGAGGGUUACAAACGUAACCGAGACAUUCCCUUGCAGUCAGUCAUGUUCAACGUCACGUCAACUGACGUCACGGGGUCCCUAUGGAAAACACACAACCUGAACUGCGUUAUGCAUUUGAGGGACAAAUACUGACAGGCAAGCAUGUUAGGACAAAUGAAGCUUGAUUUGUAACCUUCCCAACGCAUUGUUAGCCAGAUUAUGGGCCCACCAGGGGUGCCAGGGUUCUGAAGCUCACGUUGGGGGGUAGAGCACAAUGACAAAAGUAACGUCUUGUGGAGAAUUUCAGAAAAGUUAGGAAAAAGGGGAAACACGGUGGGCAUACACUGUGGGAAUACUGAGACAUUAAUUCCAAGUCCGAAGGGGGGAAGGAAGCCCCUACUGGACGCAGUGACAGACUACUCAGUCUAGUCUGAACUGCGGGGCACAGAGGACCCAGAGUUCACAGAGUGGGAACAACUAGGAGAAAGUGCACGGAUCCAAAGGGAAUGGCGCUGCAAGCCGACAGCGAGCCGGCCUCCUGCAAGUUACUUGUUGCGACAUGUGACAGGAGCGAACACCGUCCUGGUGGUGUUGUCUGUACUGACUAGUACAUGCUUGCCAUACAGCAAUGGACGAAACCAGUGAAGA